RNAcentral lists this long non-coding RNA (827 nucleotides) under Serinus canaria (Common canary). RNAcentral describes it as "lncRNA (ENSSCAG00000001570.1)". The record is from RNAcentral. Lineage: Eukaryota; Metazoa; Chordata; Aves; Passeriformes; Fringillidae.
ACCUGGGCAGGUGUGACAAGGACAGGUGGGACAAGCCCAGGGACAUCGGUGACACCUGUCACGCGUUGUCACCUGUGUCACACCUGUGCCACACCUGUGUCACUCCCCGUGUCCCCAACACCGCCAAGGGUUGUGUCACACACACAGGGCCGAGCCCAGGUGUGUCACACUCAGGUGUGUCCCAGGUGUCCCCUCCAUGUCACACUCAGGUGUGUCCCACUCAGGUGUGUCACACACCCAGGUGUGUCCCAGGUGUCCCACUCAGGUGUGUCACACACUCAGGUGUGUCCCAGGUGUCCCCUCCGUGUCCCACCUGGCGCCACCGGCUCCGGCCGCACCUGCAGAGACACCCAGGGGGGAUUUUAGGGAAUUUUAGGGAAUUUUCCCUUUUCCCCAAGAUUUUUCCCCAAAAUUUUUUUAGGAUUUUCCCCCAAAAUUUUUUUACAAUUUUCCCCCAAAAUUUUUUUACAAUUUUCCCCCAAAUUUUUUUAAGAUUUUCCCCAAAAUUUUUAAGAUUUUCCCCCAAAUUUUUUAAGAUUUUCCCCCAAAUUUUUUAAGAUUUUCCCCAAAAUUCUUUAAGAUUUUCCCCCAAAUUUUUAAGAUUUUUUUCCCCCAAUUUUUAUAAGAUUCUUUUUCCCCAUUUUUCUAAAAUUUUCCUCCAAAUCUUUUUACAAUUUUCCCCUAUUUUUUUAAAUAUUUUACCCCAAAUUUUAAGAUUUUCCACCCAUUUUUUUAGGAUUUCCCCCCAUUUUUUAGGAUUUUUUCAGCAUUUUUCCCUCCCGUUUUUUAGGAUUUCCCAAAUCCCCUUCCCAGUUUUUUUUUUUUUA